Long non-coding RNA from Raphanus sativus (radish), 427 nucleotides. RefSeq lists it as uncharacterized. Lineage: Eukaryota; Viridiplantae; Streptophyta; Magnoliopsida; Brassicales; Brassicaceae. The transcript has 2 exons. The record is from RefSeq and is a predicted model, not a curated record.
ACUCCUUUUUACAUGUCUUCAUUUAUUUUUUGUUAAAAGGCUUUUAUAGAAUUAAAUUGUCCAACAUAAAAGAAAGGGUACAGAUGCAAAGAUAUAAAAAUAGGAAUCAGAAAAUAAGAGACAUGCCAUAAACGAGAAGACCAAAAGAGCAUUAGCCUUUCACAAAUCUUUGAAUUGCUGUUCCAGAAAGCUUGAUCACAUUGAACACCUUCUGCAGGACAACCAUGUGAGAAAGAGCUCCAACUACGACAAAGGAGAGAAAAAGAUUUUGCUAACAGUUAAAGGUAUUGCCAGUGAUAUAAUUCGUUAGAUUUGCAUGCGUUUUUCACUGUUUUCGUCCCAUAAAUGUAAUGUUAUGAUAAAAUAACAAUGUAAACACGAUUAGUGUGUCUGCCACAAACAAAAAAGGCGAAAGUACAUGACCAUC